AUUGAACGCUGGCGGCAGGCCUAACACAUGCAAGUCGAGCGGUAGCACAGAAAGCUUGCUCUCGGGUGACGAGCGGCGGACGGGUGAGUAAUGUCUGGGAAACUGCCUGAUGGAGGGGGAUAACUACUGGAAACGGUAGCUAAUACCGCAUAACGUCGCAAGACCAAAGUGGGGGACCUUCGGGCCUCAUGCCAUCAGAUGUGCCCAGAUGGGAUUAGCUAGUAGGUGGGGUAACGGCUCACCUAGGCGACGAUCCCUAGCUGGUCUGAGAGGAUGACCAGCCACACUGGAACUGAGACACGGUCCAGACUCCUACGGGAGGCAGCAGUGGGGAAUAUUGCACAAUGGGCGCAAGCCUGAUGCAGCCAUGCCGCGUGUGUGAAGAAGGCCUUCGGGUUGUAAAGCACUUUCAGCGGGGAGGAAGGCGAUAAGGUUAAUAACCUUGUCGAUUGACGUUACCCGCAGAAGAAGCACCGGCUAACUCCGUGCCAGCAGCCGCGGUAAUACGAAGGGUGCAAGCGUUAAUCGGAAUUACUGGGCGUAAAGCGCACGCAGGCGGUCUGUCAAGUCGGAUGUGAAAUCCCCGGGCUCAACCUGGGAACUGCAUUCGAAACUGGCAGGCUAGAGUCUUGUAGAGGGGGGUAGAAUUCCAGGUGUAGCGGUGAAAUGCGUAGAGAUCUGGAGGAAUACCGGUGGCGAAGGCGGCCCCCUGGACAAAGACUGACGCUCAGGUGCGAAAGCGUGGGGAGCAAACAGGAUUAGAUACCCUGGUAGUCCACGCCGUAAACGAUGUCGAUUUGGAGGUUGUGCCCUUGAGGCGUGGCUUCCGGAGCUAACGCGUUAAAUCGACCGCCUGGGGAGUACGGCCGCAAGGUUAAAACUCAAAUGAAUUGACGGGGGCCCGCACAAGCGGUGGAGCAUGUGGUUUAAUUCGAUGCAACGCGAAGAACCUUACCUGGUCUUGACAUCCACAGAACUUUCCAGAGAUGGAUUGGUGCCUUCGGGAACUGUGAGACAGGUGCUGCAUGGCUGUCGUCAGCUCGUGUUGUGAAAUGUUGGGUUAAGUCCCGCAACGAGCGCAACCCUUAUCCUUUGUUGCCAGCGGUCCGGCCGGGAACUCAAAGGAGACUGCCAGUGAUAAACUGGAGGAAGGUGGGGAUGACGUCAAGUCAUCAUGGCCCUUACGACCAGGGCUACACACGUGCUACAAUGGCAUAUACAAAGAGAAGCGACCUCGCGAGAGCAAGCGGACCUCAUAAAGUAUGUCGUAGUCCGGAUUGGAGUCUGCAACUCGACUCCAUGAAGUCGGAAUCGCUAGUAAUCGUAGAUCAGAAUGCUACGGUGAAUACGUUCCCGGGCCUUGUACACACCGCCCGUCACACCAUGGGAGUGGGUUGCAAAAGAAGUAGGUAGCUUAACCUUCGGGAGGGCGCUUACCACUUUGUGAUUCAUGACUGGGGUGA
This 1463-nucleotide ribosomal RNA is filed under the name uncultured Klebsiella sp. RNAcentral's name for it is "bacterial SSU rRNA". It matches the Rfam family "Bacterial small subunit ribosomal RNA". Lineage: Bacteria; Pseudomonadati; Pseudomonadota; Gammaproteobacteria; Enterobacterales; Enterobacteriaceae. The record is from RNAcentral.